AAGGUUUCCAGAGGAAGGCUCGUCCGCUCUGGGUUAGUCGGGUCCUAAGCUGAGGCCGACAGGCGUAGGCGAUGGAUAACAGGUUGAUAUUCCUGUACCACCUAGUAUCGUUUUAAUUGAUGGGGGGGACGCAGUAGGAUAGGCGAAGCGUGCUGUUGGAGUGCACGUCCAAGCAGUAAGGCUGAGUGUUAGGCAAAUCCGGCACUCGUUAGGCUGAGCUGUGAUGGGGAGAGGAAAUUGUUUCCUCGA
RNAcentral lists this ribosomal RNA (249 nucleotides) under Staphylococcus capitis. RNAcentral describes it as "partial 23S ribosomal RNA". It matches the Rfam family "Bacterial large subunit ribosomal RNA", at positions 1347 to 1588 of the family's 2925-position model. The record is from RNAcentral. Lineage: Bacteria; Bacillati; Bacillota; Bacilli; Caryophanales; Staphylococcaceae.